RNAcentral lists this ribosomal RNA (432 nucleotides) under Acinetobacter baumannii. RNAcentral's name for it is "bacterial SSU rRNA". It matches the Rfam family "Bacterial small subunit ribosomal RNA", at positions 92 to 519 of the family's 1533-position model. The record is from RNAcentral. Lineage: Bacteria; Pseudomonadati; Pseudomonadota; Gammaproteobacteria; Moraxellales; Moraxellaceae.
CUAGCGGCGGACGGGUGAGUAAUGCUUAGGAAUCUGCCUAUUAGUGGGGGACAACAUCUCGAAAGGGAUGCUAAUACCGCAUACGUCCUACGGGAGAAAGCAGGGGAUCUUCGGACCUUGCGCUAAUAGAUGAGCCUAAGUCGGAUUAGCUAGUUGGUGGGGUAAAGGCCUACCAAGGCGACGAUCUGUAGCGGGUCUGAGAGGAUGAUCCGCCACACUGGGACUGAGACACGGCCCAGACUCCUACGGGAGGCAGCAGUGGGGAAUAUUGGACAAUGGGGGGAACCCUGAUCCAGCCAUGCCGCGUGUGUGAAGAAGGCCUUAUGGUUGUAAAGCACUUUAAGCGAGGAGGAGGCUACUUUAGUUAAUACCUAGAGAUAGUGGACGUUACUCGCAGAAUAAGCACCGGCUAACUCUGUGCCAGCAGCCGCG